Molecule: ribosomal RNA, 647 nt
Filed under: Pseudomonas koreensis
Lineage: Bacteria; Pseudomonadati; Pseudomonadota; Gammaproteobacteria; Pseudomonadales; Pseudomonadaceae
Description: bacterial SSU rRNA
Rfam family: Bacterial small subunit ribosomal RNA
Source: RNAcentral
UAGAGUUUGAUCCUGGUCAGAUUGAACGCUGGCGGCAGGCCUAACACAUGCAAGUCGAGCGGAUGAAGGAGCUUGCUCCUGGAUUCAGCGGCGGACGGGUGAGUAAUGCCUAGGAAUCUGCCUGGUAGUGGGGGACAACGUUUCGAAAGGAACGCUAAUACCGCAUACGUCCUACGGGAGAAAGCAGGGGACCUUCGGGCCUUGCGCUAUCAGAUGAGCCUAGGUCGGAUUAGCUAGUUGGUGAGGUAAUGGCUCACCAAGGCGACGAUCCGUAACUGGUCUGAGAGGAUGAUCAGUCACACUGGAACUGAGACACGGUCCAGACUGCAGCAGUGGGGACAAUGGGCGAAAGCCUGAUCCAGCCAUGCCGCGUGUGUGAAGAAGGUCUUCGGAUUGUAAAGCACUUUAAGUUGGGAGGAAGGGUUGUAGAUUAAUACUCUGCAAUUUUGACGUUACCGACAGAAUAAGCACCGGCUAACUCUGUGCCAGCAGCCGGCAGAGGGCAAGCUAUCGGAAUUACUGGGCGUAAAGCGCGCGUAGGUGGUUUGUUAAGUUGGAUGUGAAAUCCCCGGGCUCAACCUGGGAACUGAACGCUAGAGUAUGGUAGAGGGUGUGGAAAAAAUAUAGGAAGGAACCAGUGCAAGGCC